RNAcentral lists this ribosomal RNA (486 nucleotides) under uncultured bacterium. Its description in RNAcentral is "partial 16S ribosomal RNA". It matches the Rfam family "Bacterial small subunit ribosomal RNA", at positions 29 to 507 of the family's 1533-position model. The record is from RNAcentral.
AUUGAACGCUGGCGGCAUGCCUUACACAUGCAAGUCGAACGGCAGCACGGGUGCUUGCACCUGGUGGCGAGUGGCGAACGGGUGAGUAAUACAUCGGAACAUGUCCUGUAGUGGGGGGUAGCCCGGCGAAAGCCGGAUUAAUACCGCAUACGAUCUACGGAUGAAAGCGGGGGGGCUUCGGGCCUCGCGCUAUAGGGUUGGCCGAUGGCUGAUUAGCUAGUUGGUGGGGUAAAGGCCUACCAAGGGGACGAGCCGUAGCUGGUCUGAGAGGACGAGCAGCCACACUGGGACUGAGACACGGCCCAGACUCCUACGGGAGGCAGCAGUGGGGAAUUUUGGACAAUGGGCGAAAGCCUGAUCCAGCAAUGCCGCGUGUGUGAAGAAGGCCUUCGGGUUGUAAAGCACUUUUGUCCGGAAAGAAAUCCUUGGCCCUAAGACGGUCGGGGGAUGACGGUACCGGAAGAAGAAGCACCGGCUAACUACGUG